Molecule: ribosomal RNA, 496 nt
Filed under: uncultured bacterium
Lineage: Bacteria
Description: partial 16S ribosomal RNA
Rfam family: Bacterial small subunit ribosomal RNA
Source: RNAcentral
GAUGAACGCUGGCGGCGUGCCUAAUACAUGCAAGUCGAGCGAACGGACGAGAAGCUUGCUUCUCUGAUGUUAGCGGCGGACGGGUGAGUAACACGUGGAUAACCUACCUAUAAGACUGGGAUAACUUCGGGAAACCGGAGCUAAUACCGGAUGAUAUUUUGAACCGCAUGGUUCAAAAGUGAAAGACGGUCUUGCUGUCACUUAUAGAUGGAUCCGCGCUGCAUUAGCUAGUUGGUAAGGUAACGGCUUACCAAGGCAACGAUGCAUAGCCGACCUGAGAGGGGGAUCGGCCACACUGGAACUGAGACACGGUCCAGACUCCUACGGGAGGCAGCAGUAGGGAAUCUUCCGCGAUGGGCGAAAGCCUGACGGAGCAACGCCGCGUGAGUGAUGAAGGGCUUCGGAUCGUAAAACGCUGUUAUUAGGGAAGAACAUAUGUGUAAGUAACUGUGCACAUCUGGACGGUACCUAAUCAGAAAGCCACGGCUAACUACGU